Molecule: ribosomal RNA, 485 nt
Filed under: uncultured bacterium
Lineage: Bacteria
Description: partial 16S ribosomal RNA
Rfam family: Bacterial small subunit ribosomal RNA
Source: RNAcentral
GACGAACGCUGGCGGCGUGCUUAACACAUGCAAGUCGAACGAGGUCCAUUGCGAGCUUGCUCAAGAGAAGACCUAGUGGCGGACGGGUGCGUAACACGUGAGAAACCUGCCCCAGACUUGGGAAUAACAGUCGGAAACGACUGCUAAUACCGAAUACCUUCGUAGCGUCGCAUGGCGCAUCGAAGAAAGCUUUUGCGGUUUGGGAGGGUCUCGCGGCCUAUCAGCUAGUUGGUGAGGUAACGGCUCACCAAGGCAUCGACGGGUAGCUGGUCUGAGAGGAUGAUCAGCCACACUGGGACUGAGACACGGCCCAGACUCCUACGGGAGGCAGCAGUGGGGAAUAUUGCACAAUGGGCGAAAGCCUGAUGCAGCAACGCCGCGUGCGGGAAGAAGGCCCUAGGGUUGUAAACCGCUUUCAGCAGGGAAGAAACUGACGGUACCUGCAGAAGAAGGUGCGGCCAACUAUGUGCCAGCCGCCGCAGUAA